This is a long non-coding RNA of Mercenaria mercenaria, 766 nucleotides long. RefSeq lists it as uncharacterized. The record is from RefSeq and is a predicted model, not a curated record. The transcript is spliced from 4 exons. Lineage: Eukaryota; Metazoa; Mollusca; Bivalvia; Venerida; Veneridae.
AGGUAGUAAAGCUUUUGGCUCAUUCAGUGUUUAGUUAUGUUUGACACUUUGUUAAUAUUUUGAGUAAAAUACGUGUGUCAUAAAAUUUUAAUGGUAGUCUUUCUUGAUAUCACUGCCUCAUUUUCUUAUAAUUUGCACUAUAAACCAAUUAAUCUUUUACAGACCUCUAACUAGAUCAAUGAGUAUGUGUGCUGUGCUGUGCUGUGCUUAGAUAUUGUUAUGAAGUAAUGCAACCUGUAUCUAAAAGAAUGAAAUGAGAGUGCUCCUGCAAUGCUCAUAUAGAUGGAAAUUUCAAAUUGGCUGCCUCUGUAUACAUAAAGAUGUUGUACAACUACAGGACUCUCAAUCUCACUCAAGUUGAUGGGUCAGUUGCACGAAUGGUAACUGUAAUUCACACUGGUCACGGGAAAAAGUGCCGCUGUGUUGGAAUCAAUUGUAGUUUCUCCGGAAAAGAUGUUACAGCCAGUGUAUGAAGACUAAACUUUUGAUAGGUCACAGGUGCUCUCGCAAAGACUGAUGGCCUGGCAGCAUAAGCUAUUCUAUGGUAAAUAGGGCCUGACAUAAUUUGUGUUAUGUUUUCAGCUUUUUAUACACCCGUCUCUGGAAGAGCGGGGCGUAUUAUGUGAACACCCGUGGAUUUUGAAAUAACUUGGCAUAAAUGUUCACCAUAAUGAGAUGAUGUGUCAUGUGCAAGAUUCAGACCCCUAGCUCCAAGGACAAUGUCACAAUUAGAGGUCAACAGUUAACACGGUCUGUUUCGUGUCUA